UGUUCACGCCUCCGCUGGUUGUUGCCGAUUGUUGAUGUGUUGUAGAAAUUUGAUCUGUUGUGCAAAAGGGAAGGGAAGAGUUUUGAGGUUUUGAGGCAGCUAAAAAGAAUAAUAUGAUGCCUUUGUGUGUGUGUGUGUGUGUGUGUGUGUGUGUGUGUGUGUGUGUGCAUUCCAAACAAGCCAUUUCAUGCUCACCAGUACUUAAUAUGGCAGCAUUAUUAGUAGUGUAUAAGUUUUAGCAGUAGAAUGUAUUAGACUUGGGGUUGAUACUCCACAUGUGACAAUACUACUUUUAAUUUUAUGCUAUUUAAAUCCCAAUUAUUUUAGCUGCCAGUAUAUUCCGUGUAAUUCUCUUGUGUAGACGGGAACAUGUACUUAAGUUAGCCUCCCCACACACUAGGUCCCCGCACACUAGGAUACUCUCCCCACACACUAUAGGAUACUCUCCCCACAUAUCAGUUGACUCACCCUUUAUAUAUAUGUAGCCACCCUCACUCUCUCCUCCGUCCCUCACACACACACAAGUCUCGGCCUCAAUCAUCCCUUGCAGACUAAGUGUUGUGCCUUGCUUAGUCCGAAAGACAUUUUUCCGCUGACAAUAAGCCUCCUUACCUCCGUCAGAGAGGGAGACGUGUGUGUGAGGCGAGUGAGGAGCCUGGUGUGCCGCAAGACCAGCUAACAAGCCCCAAAACACACUCCGCCAGGGUAUGAGUUCUUGAUCACAUUGAGGGUGAAUACACAUGUGCACACACUUAGCCACGUACACAGGGCACAAGUGUACACGGAUUCCACGUACACAGGGCACAAGUGUACACAGAUUUGUAUCCUCUCAUUACUUGUACACAUGCACCAUAAUUUUUGCAGCUGUUGUAUGCAUGUGUGUUUUUAUUUAUAUUAGUUUUUAUUUUUAUUUUUUACGUGUACGCCUGUAGCGCCAGUAGGCUCUCUCGAGGGGCCUGGAUGGUAGUCGGGCCCGUCGUGGCGCAGGCAAGUGUUUAUAGUGGCGCCAUCUUCUAUUUAUAAUUUUGUUAGCCUAGUACACUCCAAAGGUUGUAUAGCUGCCAUAUGCACAGAACUACUACUUUAUUUGUGGUUACCUAUCUAUUUAUACGAACUCGUCUUCAACUUUUGGGGUUUUAUUUAGUGCUUGUUUUUAUGAGCUGCUUCACGACUGACUUGUACAUCAACUUAAUCUGUUUUGUCUGGGUAGUUUGUUUCGUUGUCUAGCCUGUUUUCUAUUCCUCUCUUUUACAGACUUAAACAAAACAUGGACUUAAUUUAGGCCCCUUUCCUUCACACUAAAGGAACUUAAUCUGUUUUCUAGAGGUUGUUUUUAAGAUUUUCAACUAUACCUCAACUAAUCCAUUUUGCCUAGUUCUUGUUUUCUAUUCCUCUCUGCUACAGACUCAAACAUGGAAUUGAUUUUGGCCUCUCUACUAUACACUACAUCAACUUAAUCUGUUUUCUAGUUGUUUUUUAAGCCCCUCAACUAUACAUUAACUUAAUCUGUUUUGUCUAGUGCUUGUUUUCUAUUCCUCUCUGCUACAGACUCAAACAUGGAAUUGAUUUUGGCCUCAACUUCACAUAUCUGUUUUCUAGUGGUUGUUUAUAAGCCCCUCAACUAUACAUUAACUUAAUCUGUUUUGUCUAUUGCUUGUUUUCUAUUCCUCUCUGCUACAAACUCAAACAUGGAAUUGAUUUUGGCCUCAACUUCUCACUACAUCAACCUAAUCUGUUUUCUAGUGGUUGUUUUUAAGCCUCGACUAUACAUUAACUUAUACAUUAACUAAUCCCUUUUGUCCAGUACUUGUUUUUCUAAGUCUCACUGUGACUGACUUAUUAAUCAACCUUAUCUGUUUUGUCCAGUGCUAGUCUUUUUCAGUACAUCAAGUUAAUCUAUUUUCUCCACUGCUUGUAUUUCUUAGCCUCUCUUCUACGGACUUAUACAUCAACUUAAUCUAUUUUCUCUGGGGCUUGUCUAUUUCAGUACAUCAAGUUAAUCUAUUUUCUCCAUUGCUUGUACUUCUUAGCCCCUCUACGACUGACUUAUACAUCAACUUAAUCUAUUUUCUCUAGGGCUUGUCUAUUUCAGUACAUCAAGUUAAUCUAUUUUCUCCACUGCCUCUAUUUCUUAGCCUCUCUACUACUGACUUAUACAUCAACUUAAUCUAAAUACAUUACCUUAAUCUAAUCCUUUCUGCAGCUGACUCGCAUACAUUAGCUUACUCUGUUUCUCUUAGUGGUAGAGUCCCCUCAUCUCAUGGCGGUGUGACUUGAGGCAUUGGGAUGGGUCAAGAAGUUCUAAAAGUGCAUCGUGUAAUAACUUCUCAGGAUGUGUAGAUGAGACAAACACUUUUUAUAACUAGUUCUUGUGGGUGACUGAAUCUAAACAGGCUCACUUCUUCCUUCUUUUUCAUUUUUUAUCUUUUUAUACAAUUUUAACACAAUUUUUUCUACUGCGUUUCACAUUUUAUAUAUUUUUACUUGUUCAAUGCUUAACCCGGUGAUCAGCCAAACACUUUUUACAACUAGUUCUCGUGGGUGACUGAAUCUAAACAGGCUCACUUGCUUUCCUUCUUUUUCAUUUUUCUAUCUUUUUAUACAAUUUUAACACAAUUUUUAAUGCUACGUUUAACAUUUUACAACUUGGCUCUUGUGGGUGACUGAUUCUAAAAGGGCUGACUUGCUUUCUUCUUUAAUUUUUUACCUUUUUAUACAAUUUUAACACAAUUUUUACUGCUACAUUUAACAUACAUUUCUUAACUUAUUCAACACAACCCGGUAGCAGCGAGAAACAUGAUCCCCUUAGCUCCCGAGUUAAGCAUUUUUUUUAAUACUGCCCCUUGGUUUGGUAUUUUAGUAGUACAUGUGUGUUACUAUAUUUGGUAAGGGUGUUGUUGCCUUUGUUUGUGUGUCUCAGAUUGUUUCCGUUCAUCUUUUUACACAAGUUUUAAAUAUACAGGCGUCACACAAACAGUACGGUUUCUAAUAGUUCGGUUUUGGUUUUAUAUGGAUUUUCAUAGAAGAUUUUUUUAGGGUUUUUAAAUUUCCCGGUGAACAGGAAAUUUAAAAACCCUUAAAAGAUCUUCUAUGACAAUCCGUAUAAAACCGGAACUACUAUUUGAGGGACGGCUGUAUAUACGUACUUCAGACAAUAGGAAAUUGUUUUCUUUUUAUUCAGAUAUUUAAAAUGUUACUGUUAUCUAUAGUUUUUUUCCGUUUUCUGUUUCUCUACAAGUAUUUAUUUUUUUAGUCUUGGUGUUGAGCGGGGAUAAGCUGCUUAGGUUAUCCUUCAAGGAGUGUAAGCAAGAGGCCGGUGACUGUGGAGCCCCAAUAGACAUGCAGCGGGCAUUUUUUGAGCUCAUGUUCUAUAGACAAAUCAGUACAAUGCAUUCCCCUUCACUUCUUAAUAAAUAAACCCCAUUCCCAUUAACUUCUGCAGCCCCUUCCUCUUCCCCAUGAACUGUGUGUCAUUGGUCAGUUCAUAAGCAAGCUACACUCCUCUCUAGCUCAGGCUGAUAAAGUAUGCAGAUCUAGACAAAUGUAGACAAUUUAAAAGGGUAGCACAUUAAGAUAUAUGUAUAAUGUAUAUUCAAAUUCUUACCCCCAAUGUCGUCCAAACUAAUUUCUGAGUGCAGUGCCGCCUCGCCUCCUGUGUACUAGGCCUAAGGUUGGUUCCCUGCUGGGCCACCUGGUGAAUACGUCGUUAGGUUUUGCUUUAGGGCUCAGGUGUUUGCUUUUUGUUAGUUACUCCCGGUGGUGGGUAGGGUGGUGAUGGUAUAUUUCCAAGGUGUAUAUUUUAUCCGUUAAUUUAAUCUACCGUGUGUGUGUGUGUGUGUGUGUUUGUUCAUUGUACUGGGCCUUAAGUCCUUCAUGUCUGCCUCCUGUGUGGCAAGGUUCACUUGAUGUUUUGUUGCCACCUCAAACAAGUAGUUCAUGGCACAUUUGGCUUCGAGCAUACUUUGUAUGGAUCCAAACCUCUUCUUGUUUCAAUCGUCUUCAUCGUCAUCCACAGACUUGAGCCAAUUGGUUUAUCUCUUCCUGCAUCGCUUGGUUACGAUUCAGGAGAGCAUUGACCUCAGUGCUAUCAGAGGAAGUUCCUCCACUGCUGCUGUUUGAGGCCAACAAUUGGAUCUGUAGCUGCAUGACCUGCUCCCUUAACUUGUGGAGCUCGGGUGCCUGUGGGUCAUGGUUGACAAUUGGCUUGUUCUUGAUCUUACAGGCACGGUCAGCAUAGCGAAGGGUACUCAAGGACUCCUCCAGAUUACUGUCCGCUGGUGACACACACGCCACCAUUACUGUGUGGGAGUUGCCUCCGAGGGAGUCUUGUAAUAAUCUUGUUAGCUUUGAAUCUUUGUAUGGAAUGUGACCUCAGCCUCCUUCCUCACAGAGAGUUGAUAUAACAUUCCCAAGAGCCAGGAGACCCUUGUUAAUGUUCACUCCCUCUUUGAACCGUUCCUCGGUGGCACCAGUCUUCUUGGCUCGUUCGCAGUCGGUCAGGUCCACCAAGUGAAACUUUGAGGAUACAAUGCUCUCCCCUUUAUUUUUGUUUUCCUGUUGGACGUGCAAGGAGGAGUGUCAUGGGAGUGGCUGGAGUGGGCGUUCAUGGCCGUGGCGCCGGUAGCCCUCUACGCUGCGCCCUGCUCCAGACACUUCAUGGUCUCUUCAAUGCUGGUCACGGGAAUCUCGGUAACCCCACCAAUUUAUGUCCCACCUCGGGUGUCUUCUCGGAUGUCCACAGUACAUUCAUCCUUGGUAGAUUUGUUGCUUAGUGGAUUGAAGAGGGUCGCCUUGUAGAGCUCAAUGAAGGAUACUUUGAUGGUGUCCUCAUCGUCCGUCUGACUUGCCACACCAUCAAACAUGUCCUGUACUGCGCGGGGGAUGAUGUCGCACCAUCCGAGUUAUCCGCUUUAGUGCUCGACGUGGUGCCCGUGGUGUGGGUUUUGCCCGAUCCUGUCUGGCCGCAUGCGAGUACAGUCACAUCAUUGAGAGCAUUGACCGGCGGUCAAUGCUCUCAAUGCUUUAAAAAGAUUCUGGACAACAUUCUUUAUCGAGGUUUCAUAAACACAUCCUUGGGUGGUGAGUGUGUGUGUGUGUGUGUGUGUGUGUGUGUGUGUGUGUUGAUUGUCCCAUUCGCAUGAGUGGUUUGAUUUCUCAUUAAUAUUUAUUUUGAUUAUUUUUCUUUCCAUUAAAACUGGGGAAGGAAGGAGUGAAUUAUCAUUAUCAUUAGCUGUCAACAUUCCUACUUGAGCUGUGGACUGUAUGUAAGGACUGAAUAGAUAUGGAGUUACUGGUGAAAAAUGUGUUGUUUAAGUUUUCCCAACUCGCUGAUCAGGUGAAGAAUUUAAGCCGUCCGCUGCGAUUGGCACGGAUUUGGCUUUCACUGGUAGCCUGGUAACAUAUACUCCCAGGUCAUUGCCUCUGUGGUGGAUAGUGGAGUGUUUCCCACGUGGUAUUGGUAUGCUGGAUAUCCCCUCCCAAGAAACAUGACUUUACAUUUUUUAUCAUUGAAUUGUAGCAGUCACUUUUUGAUCCAUUCCUGUCGCUUGGUGAUGUCUUCUGGUAGGAAAUCCGCAGUCAAGGGUUAAAGGGAGAUAGCAUGAGGGGGGGCAAGUAUAGACUCCACACCUUUACUAGCCAUAUGACCACACUACAGUGACAUGGAUAAGACUGAAAAGAUGAGAAUUAAAGUGGAGUGGGUCACAAAAUUAUGGGUGAACAGUAGUAUUAGAAUCUGCGGGUAUAUAUUUUUGCUUAUGUAUCUGACAAGUUAAAAGAAAUUCUGAAGUGAGGAUACUUUAAUAAUUGAAAAUGGACAAUGAACUUACUUUUUUGACUAUGAAACCAAUACUUUUGUGUAUGUAUCUGGUAGUUAAAAGGAAUUCUGAAGUGUGAACAGACUGUAGUAAUUAGGAAUGGGCAAUGAUCUUACACUUUCACCCAAAGAAUUAAGACUUUUUAUGUAUGUGUCUGGUAAUUUAACGACAUUCUGAAGUGAUGAUAGACUUUGAUAACUGGGAGUGGCCAUUUACCUUACGUAAUUAGGAAUGGGCAAUGAUCUUACACUUUCACCCAAAGAAUUAGACUUUUUAUGUAUGUGUCUGGUAAUUUAAAGACAUUCUGAAGUGAUGAUAGACUUUGAUAACUGGGAGUGGCCAUUUAACUUACUCUUUUACUGACAGAAUUGAUCCUUUUGUAUAUGUAUCUAGUUAUUUAUAGCCAUCUAGAAGUGAAGAUUGACUUACAUACUUAUGGAAUGGACAUUAAACGUGCACUUUUACCUGAAUUAUAGAUCUUUUUUUGUGUGUAUGAUGAUUUAUAGCCAUUUAGAAGUGAAGAUUGACUUUUAUUUAUGGAAUGGACAUUAAACUUACACUUUACCUAAAUUAUAGAUCUUUUUCUGACACUUUUACCUAAAUUAUCGAUCUUUUUCUGUAUGUAUGAUGAUUUAUAGACAUCUAGAAGUGAAGAUUGACUUAGAUACUUAUGGAAUGGACAUUAAACUUACACUUUACCUAAAUUAUAGAUCUUUUUCUGACACUUUUACUUAAAUUAUUGAUCUUUUUCUGUGUAUGAUAAUUUAUAGCCAUUUAGAAGUGAAGAUUGACUUAAAUACUUAUGGAAUGGACAUUAAACUUACACUUUUACCUAAAUUAUCGAUCUUUUUCUGUGUGUAUGAUAAUUUAUAGCCAUUUAGAAGUGAAGAUUGACUUAAAUACUUAUGGAAUGGACUUUAAACUUGCACUUUUACCUAAAUUAUCGAUCUUUUUCUGUAUGUAUCUGAUGAUAUAUAGCCAUUUAGAAGUGAGGCUUGACUUAAAUACUUACGGAAUGGACAUUAAACUUACACUUUUACCUUAAUUAUUGACCUUUUUCUGUAUGUUUCUGGUAAUUUAUUGAAGUUUACAGUGGGGAUAAAGUGUAAUAAGUAGGAAAUGGAGAAUGAACUUACACAUACUUACAAAUUUUAACUUUUUCUGUAUGUAUUUGAUGAUUUAAAGAAAGUUCAGAGUGAGAAUAGGUUGCAGUAAUUGGGAACGGACAAAUUUAAACUCUUUCUGUAUGUAUUUGAUGAUUUAAAGAAAGUUCAGAGUGAGAAUAGGUUGUAGUAAUUGGGAACAGACUAAUUUAAACUUUUCUUGUAUGUAUUUGAUGAUUUAAAGAAAGUUCAGAGUGAGAAUAGGUUGCAGUAAUUGGGAACGGACAAAUUUAAACUUUUUCCUGCAUGUAUUAGAUCAUUUAAAGAAAGUUCAAAGUGAGAAUAGGUUGCAGUAAUUGGGAACGGACAAAUUUAAACUUUUUCUGUAUGUAUUAGAUCAUUUAAAGAAAGUUCAGAGUGAGAAUAGGUUGCAGUAAUUGGGAACGGACAAAUUUAAACUUUUCCUGCAUGUAUUAGAUCAUUUAAAGAAAGUUCAGAGUGAGAAUAGGUUGCAGUAAUUGGGAACGGACAAAUUUAAACUUUUUCUGUAUGUAUCAGAUAAUUUAAAGAAAGUUCAGAGUGAGAAAAGGUUGCAGUAAUUGGGAACGGACAAAUUUAAACUUUUCCUGUAUGUAUCAGAUAAUUUAAAGAAAGUUCAGAGUGAAAAUAGGUUGCAGUAAUUGGGAACGGACAAAUUUAAACUUUUCCUGUAUGUAUCAGAUAAUUUAAAGAAAGUUCAGAGUGAGAAUAGGUUGCAGUAAUUGGGAACGGACAAAUUUAAACUUACACAUCCACCCACGGAAUUGAUCUUUGAAAACCAGUGAUUGUUUGCCGUCGCUGCUGUUACAUAUCAGAGCUUUGUGUUGUGGUGAGGAGGAGGAAUAGUUGCUGUGAUGAUGAAAUACACAUUGAUUUCUACCUGGUUUGUCUGAGAAUUUUUCCUAUGGGACAAUCCUAUCCUAUCUUGACAAUGUGGACUGUUUUAGUUUUUUUUUUAUAUGAAUUUGGUCAUUGAACAUCUAAACGUCACAAUGUACUAACAGUCUCCUAUCCUAUCUUGACGAUGUGGACUGUUUUAGUUUUUUAUGAGUUUGGUCAUUGAACAUCUAAACGUCACAAUGUACUAACAGUCUCCUAUCCUAUCUUGACAAUGUGGACUGACUUAGUUUUUUAUGAGUUUGGUCAUUGAACAUUUAAACUUCACAAUUUACUAAUAGUCUCCUAUCCUAUCUUGACAAUAUGGACUGUUUUAGUUUUUUAUGAGUUUGGUCAUUGAACAUCUAAACAUCACAAUUUACUAACAGUCUCCACUUAACCCGGUAGCAGCGACGGGACAAAUUUGUGGCUUUACCGUGUACCAGUGAUGGGCCAAAUUUGUGGCUUUACCGUGUACCAGCGACGGGCCAAAUUUUUGCCAUGAUAUAAACCCCCCAAAAUAGAGCCAAAUAAGAGGGAAAGAAAAGUGAGGUAUGAGACCAUUAAGUGUUUAAUUAACCGUGUAGCAGCGACGGGACAAAUUCGUGGCUUUAUCAUGUACCAGUGACGGGCCAAAUUUUUGCCAUGAUAUAAACCCCCCAAAAUAAAUGAUGCAUGAACUGAUCACAAAUGCAUUGAUAUAUAUUAUGAAAUGGUUUGCGUGAGUGAUGUUUUUUCUCAUUUUUCUGGCUUAGAGGGGCCUUUAAGAAACAUGAUCCCCGCAGCUACCGGGUUAAUUAAAGAAUUUGAGCCAUGGCUACUUAGAGACUGUGAAUCGGGCUCUGGUUCCAUCUCUUAAACCCCAAAGCCCAGUUGUAGGGAGGAAAAUUAAGUGCUAUUCAUCUUAUCAAUUAUUAUGAGUCUUAUUCUGUGUCUUUUUACUUUUUUUAUUCACCUUUUUAUGAUUUUGUUUUUAUUCAUUUCUCAUGUUUUUAUAUUAGGGCAUAGUUAUAGGGAGGGAAAUUUGAGCAGUACUGUAUUUAACUUAUUAAUUACUUUAUAUCUUAAGUCUGCUGCUGUCUCCAUUAUCUUUUUGUGUUGUUUUCUUAAGCCAUCACAUCCUUGGCUGUCACAUAGUACGAUCGAUAUGGACUUUUAUUUCUUUUAAUUUUCAGUUCAGUAUCUUUUUUUUUUUUUUUUUUUUUUUUUUUUCUAUGUGUUCGCCUAUAGCGCUGGUAGGCUUUUUUUCAGGGGCCUAGUGGUCGGCCCAAGCACGUCAUGGCACAGGCAAUUUUUAUAGUGGCGCCGUUCAUUCUUGGCUCAUGCUGCCCCCCGGAACUCAUUCUUGAUUCACUGGACGGUUUCUUCUAGAGUCCGGGUUGAUGGGUGGCCUUCAGGACAGCAUGUGGGUAGUCUUAGGCCACUCGGCGGUGUAUGAAAAAUCCCACUGUUUUUUAUUAUUGUCUUAUUUAUUUAUUUUUUGUUUUUUAUCUUUCCCGAGCAGCACAAGCCCAAAAGCCAACCCACACAGACUUCUUUACGCUUGUGUUAUGCUGUGACGUGCUUCCCGCUGCGGCUGGUGUGGCUUUUGUACCCUGACUUGCCGUGCUGUGAUUCUUGUCUCCACCCGGCACAUGACCACAGAUGUUGCGCCGACUAAACGAAACUUUCCAAACUUUUCUUGUCUCGACUUCUUUGCCUCUUUGUGAUGUGUGUUUGUGUGUGCAAUCUGAUGUGUUGAGGUGGCUUGCAUACACCGAUUCACAAGGCUAUGAUGCUUGUUUCUAUGUAUGUCUUUGGUUUUGUUUGGGUUCUUAAUAUAACAUCUCAGUGGAUUGAUUUUUAUUUGAUGUGAUGGUGAGACGAAUUUAACAGCAUCCUUGGACAGAUUAAUUAAUUUAUUCAUAAAGCUUAUACAUUUAUUUAAUUUAUUAUUAUUAUUAUUAUUAUUAUUAUUAUUAUUAUUAUUAUUAUUAUUGUUGUUAUUAUUGCAAUGGCCACUAACAUAUCAAUUCUUUUCCAGCAUCUAAUUUAAUUUAAUGUUUGUUCUAUAUUUUUAGUUGUGUAUUUUGUAUUACUAUUUUUAUUAUUAUCUUUAUUAUUACUAUUAUUAUCGUUAUUAUUGUCGUUGUUGUGGGUAUUUUUUCCUUUCUCUUCUUAUUUACCGUCUACAUAGCUGUUAUUUUGUUUCUUUCACCAGGCGCUUUCCACCCCUGCCCCCGAGACCUACUUCAAGGGGGAGGAAGAAAAGCCCUCGGUCGUGCCUGUCCACACACACACCGCUUACUUGAUCUAGCCUUAGCUCUCGUCCCCUGUCCUCACCCUCUUCAAGACAUUCCAAAGCUGGCACUUCAUUUGUUAUUUGUUUUUGUUGCUUUUCUCAUUUCUUAUUUUUUUCACAGCCUCAGUCACGCGCCUCUCCACACACACACACACAACGCUUAAUUGAUCCUCACCAUCUUCAAGACAUUCCAAAGCCGUCACUUCAUUUCUUAUUUAUUUUUUUUGUUGCUUUUCUCGUUUCUUAUUUUUUUCACAGCCUCAGUCACGCGCCUCUCCACACACACACACAACACUUAAUUGAUCCUCACCCUCUUCAAGACAUUCCAAAGCCGUCACUUCAUUUGUUAUUUAUUUUUGUUGCUUCAUAUCACGUUUCUUAUUUUUUUCACAGCCUCAGUCACGCGCCUCUCCACACACACACACA
Eriocheir sinensis (Chinese mitten crab) is the source of this 10541-nucleotide long non-coding RNA. RefSeq lists it as uncharacterized. The record is from RefSeq and is a predicted model, not a curated record. The transcript is spliced from 5 exons. NCBI's taxonomy places the organism in Eukaryota, Metazoa, Arthropoda, Malacostraca, Decapoda, Varunidae.